This 479-nucleotide ribosomal RNA is filed under the name Stumpffia obscoena. RNAcentral's name for it is "partial 16S ribosomal RNA". It matches the Rfam family "Bacterial large subunit ribosomal RNA", at positions 1941 to 2611 of the family's 2925-position model. The record is from RNAcentral. Lineage: Eukaryota; Metazoa; Chordata; Amphibia; Anura; Microhylidae.
CCUAACCGUGCAAAGGUAGCACAAUCACUUGUUCUUUAAAUCAGGACUAGUAUGAAUGGCCCCACGAGAGCUAUACUGUCUCCCUGCUUCAAUCAGUGAAACUGAUCCCCUCGUGAAGAAGCGAGGAUUAUUUUAUAAGACGAGAAGACCCCAUGGAACUUUAAACUAGUACCACCUCUUAUUACCAACAUGACUACUAGUCUUUCGGCUGGGGCGACCACGGAGAAAAACAAAACCCCCGAGAUGAAAGGAAACAUCCUUACCCAAGAAUUACUAUUCCAAGAAUCAAUAAAUGACAUCAUUGACCCAACAUUUGAUCAACGAACCAAGCUACCCUGGGGAUAACAGCGCAAUCCAUUUCAAGAGACCUCAUCAACAAAUGGGCUUACGACCUCGAUGUUGGAUCAGGGAAUCCUAGUGGUGUAGCCGCUACCAAAGGUUCGUUUGUUCAACGAUUAAAACCCUACGUGAUCUGAGUU